ACCAGUGACACUGGGAGACUAGGGGACUCUGGCUGGGACGCAUGGGGACACUGGGAAAAUAGGGGUCACUUGAAGACAUGGGGACACAGACACCAGGGACACAGACACUAGAGACACUGGCUGGGGGACAUUGAGACAUGGGGACAAGGAGACACCAGGGCCACAGACACUAGGGACACUAGCUUGGAGACAUGGGGACAUUGAGACACUUGAGGCACUGGGAGACAUGGAGGCACUAGGAGACAUGGGGACAGUGAGACACUGGCAGACUGGGGGCACAGGGAGACUAGGGGGCACUGAGACACCAGCAACAUGGCUCGGAGACAUGGGGACACUGGAAAACUGUGUCUGUGUCAUAAUGUCUCCCAAUGUCCCUUAGUGUCUCAGUGUAUGUCUCCUUGCAGCCUUUCCCUCAUCCCUUACUUCCCUGAGCUGUAGGCUGUCUCUGCAGGGUGGGAGUUGCUGUCUGGACUCUCUGUAGCUGCUCCCCUGCAGAUCAGUGAGUAUAGGUAGGCAGGGAGGGAUAUGCUGCAACUUCCUAUCCCUGCCUGUCUCCACAUACAGCGACCCCUACUGGCCAGUGCUGGUAUUGCAUAGUAAUCUCUUGUUUAUACUGAGAAAAAUACCAGCAUUUGUAUUGCCAGUAUCACUGUAAUAUUGGCACCAGCCAGGCAGCCUCAAAUACUGGCUGUGCCAAUAAAAUAAAAGCCAGGUGGAAUCCCUAAGAGUAGUGUGUGGGAAAAAAAAAAAUGUAAAAAAAAAUUAUUAUUU
Pelobates cultripes (western spadefoot toad) is the source of this 771-nucleotide non-coding RNA. Lineage: Eukaryota; Metazoa; Chordata; Amphibia; Anura; Pelobatidae. The record is from the annotation of a GenBank genome assembly.